GGCUGCGAAGGCGAUAGGCGUCUCAGACUUGAAGACGCCUCUCCAGCAGAACUCCCUCAUUGGUCGGCAAGAGAAAACAAAGCUGGGCUCUGAUUGGUGACAGCUCUGUAGCUCCUCCUCAUACCCGCAGUCCCCGCAAGUUCCACCCCUGCCCGCCCGGUUCGCUCGCCCUUGGUUCCCACUCCCAGGUGGCUGCAGACUGGAGUGUGUUUCAUGGACGAGCAACCUCCCUGAGGAGAACCCCGGAUACGCAGAGUCACCAGUAAAAUGAGCAUUCAUUCAUUAAGCCAAUCAUCAGGAAUGGAUCUAGGAAGAACCUACUGUUUACUAGAAAUAGGUUAGAUCUGUGGAUAUAACAAUGAAUAAGACAAGACUGGUGGAUCUAUAGAGAAACUAUUACUGCACAGGUGAUGGGGAAAUCAAGAGUACUAUGGGGCCAAGGAGACUGUCCUGCAGCAAAUGAGGAAUAAGCUGAAACAUCAGUAGGAGCCAUCCCAGAGAAAAGGGACAGGGUUCUAGAUCCAGAGAACAACAGAAGAGCAUUCAGCGCCUGCAAGGGAGCAGGGGAUCUAAUGCAAAGCCAUUGCAUAACCAGUCAACUUUCCCCACAUCACAAGAUUGCCUAGCCUGGAUGGCCCCAGAAUGUUGAAACAAAUGUCUAAUUAGUAACGACAUUCUGAAUGCUUGGGAGCUGAGCAAAAUAUGAGGAGAAGCAACCUGAUUUUUGUUUCAUAUUAUCAUCUCCUUUAUUCCAGCAACAAAAGACACUGAAAAUAGUAAAUGCCCACUUUCAACCAUGACAGCCCUUUUAGGAUAGUAACGGUGAGCAGUAUUAAUCCUAUUUGACCAGAACUAGGGCAGAAUUGAAGCCCCUGGAGUAGAGAUCUGUUCUAUUAGCCCCAGCCUUUCCGCCUGCUUCUUGGGAUGGCUAUCUUUACUUUAUCAGUUGAGCCUCCAGCAUUAGCAGAUACCUAUAAGGGAAGAGAUCCAGCCCUCACUAUGGAGGGCCAGAAAGAGAAAGCACCAGACAUUAGGAAAUGUCAAAGUAUCUCAGUACAUCCAGCUGAUUAGUGACAGAUAAGUCAAAAUUUGCAGCAACUAAAUAAAUCAAAAAGUAGAUUUUAAAAUGUGAUCUUUGAAAUAUUUGGCACAAUGCUUCAAAGCCACUGAAAAGCUAUCUCUUCACCCUAAUAGAGGACAGAAAUUCAUUAGAUAGACAGAAGAGGCUGCAUACAGUAGCCCAUGCCCAUAAUCUCAACAACUUUGGAGGCCAAGGUGGAAAGAUUACUUGAGGCCAGGAAAUCAACACCAGCCUGAGCAACAUAGCAAGACAUCUUUACAAAAAAUUUAAAAAUUAGCCAGGUUUGGUGGUGUGCAGCUGUAGUCCUAGCUACUCGGGAGGCUGAGGUGGGAGGAUUGCUUGAGGCCAGGAGUUCUAGGCUGCAGUGAACAGAGAUUUUGCCACUGCGUUCCAGCCUGGGCAACAGAGUAAGACCCUGUCUCUAAAAUAGAUGAUAGAUAGAUAGAGAGAGAGAGAGAGAUGAUAGAUAAUAGAUAGUUGAUAGAUAGAUGAUAGAUAAUAGAUAGUUGAUAGAUAGAUAAUAGAUCGUUGAUUGAUAGAUUAGAUAGAUGUAUAAUAGAACCCAAAGGCAAAAAUAAGUUAGUCCUCAGGAAGACCCAGAUCGCAGACCUGAAAAGCCAGGAGGAACUCAAUGGAAUUUUUUUCCAUAGCAGGUGCUCUCUCUACACCUGUGCUCUAUUCUCCUAUUCUGAUAACCAGCCCCUGGCUCCUAUGUCCCAGUGUCAGAGAAAUGAUGUUCCAGAGCUGCACCCACAAGGACUAAAUCACCUGCCUAACCCUAACCCUAAUCAUAGAUGAUGGGGGCUGCAGGGGACCAGUAUGGCUGCCAGGGCCCAUCCCUGUUUAUGAGCAGAGGUUUCCCAGAGAAGACACACUGGGCAGAUUACCAGACACGCAUUCAUUGCACCCCUGACAUUUUCAAUCGCCAGUCAAUGAGGCUUCCUUUCUAGUUACUGAAAGUCUUCACCUGCUGUUUAUAGUAAACUGGAGACCUAGAGGCCAAGGCCGAAGGCUUGGAUGGUAAUUUCCCACAUUCUCUGGAAAUCUUUCUACUUCAGUUGGCUUCCAGACACCCAGUACCCUUGUGUGUUCCAGUUUCAAGUUGCCAUUCUUGUUCAGGUCUUCUAGUAAUUUCCUGUUUCCCUAUCUGAAGUGUACCUCCUGACAUCAAUGUAUUCAAAGAGCAAAUGCUCCUGCCAAAUCUAUGAGUGUCAGUGAACUAGCCUGCUGCUCUGGGCUCAGAUGAGACCAGCUUGCAGAACAAGCAGGACAGAGGCGUGAAGGGAAGCAGAUGGCAAACCUCGAUCUGCCACCAUCCCUUCCACAGGCAUUCCGUAUGAGGACAUCUGUCCCCACCCCUGGAUGAAAACUUGGGUGAUCCCGAAAUUUUUCUGAUUGCUCACAGAAUUGGUUCCUUCCAGCAGGUUUACGGUCUGGCUGACUUCAAGAAUGGAGAUGGUCCUUAUUAACAGCUCUUAAAGAUGGCACGGACACAAAGAGUGAGCAGCAGCAAGAUUUAUUGUGAAGAGCGAAAGAACAAAGCUUCCACAGCGUGAAAGGGUACCUGAGCUGAUUGUCGCUGCUGGCUGGGAUGGCCAGCCUUUAUUCCCUUUUUUGUCCCCUCGCAUGUUCUGUUUCUGUCCUAUCAGAGUGCCCUUUUUUCAGUCCUCCCCACGAUUGGCUACUUUUAGACUCCUGCUGAUUGGUUGUGUUUUACAGAGCACUGAUUGGUGCAUUUUACAGAGUGCUGAUUGGUGUGUUUUACAGAGCACUGAUUCGUGCAUUUUACAAUCCUCUUGCUAGCUACAGAGCGCUAAUUGGUGCAUUUUACAAUCCUAGCUACAGGGUGCUGAUUGGUGCGUUUUACAAUCCUCCUGUAAGACAAAAGUUCUCCAAGUUGAUCCAGGAAGUCCAGCUGGCUUCACCUCUCAGCAUGAUUAUAAAUUGAGAACACUUCUACCUUGUACCAAAAAAACCAGUCUCAACACUUUUUAGCCAUACUCAUUAAGAACAAAAUACGUGAACACUUUGUAACACGUAUAAUUGGAAUAAGCAUUUUAUAUUCAGAAAGAAGGCCAGUGAUGGAAACGUUGAGAAAAAAAUACAUAGUGAGAUGAGUCAUUCAGAAUUUAGAUUUAAUUAAGCUCAGUCAUCUUUGUACUUACCAUGUUGAUCUCCCAAGGGAGCAUCGCAAGCAAAGUGACUCUUGCACCACUUAUGUUAUCCUAGAAACUAUGCCAGCAUUAAUUAAUUUGUGCUGACCUGGAAAGCAGAAGCUUCCUUAUCUCGCCACUUGAAAACUAAGUAACUCCUUGUUCCACGUUGAAGAUUAGGAAACUUGCAAGGAUGAGCUACAGCAACAUAGAAAACAGCACCCCCACAGCAGGAGGGGCAGUUUGAGGAUGUGCACACAGAGGGGAUGUUUCCAGGACCCAGGCUUCACUUCCAGCAAAGAUGUUACUUUAGAAGAUGGGACUCUUUCACUUAAUUGUGUCUAUUUUCUUAACUCACAGCUUUCUCCUGUCUAGCACCUUUAUCCAAAAAUUCCCUGUCCCUGGUAUAUGAGCAGAAAACAAAGGAACUUAAUAGUUAACUCUCUGAUACAUAUGAGUGCAAAUUCUACAAUUAAAAAAAUAAAGCCAGGCUGGGUCUGAUGGCUUAUGCCUGUAAUCCCAGCACUUUGGGAGGCCGAGGCAGGAAGAUCACUUGAGGUCAGGAGUUGGAGACCAGCCUGAUCAACAUGGUGAAACCCCGUUUCUACAAAUAAUACAAAAAUUAGCUGGGCGUGGUGACACACACCUGUAAUCCCAGCUACUCAGGAAGCUGAGGCAGGAGAAUCUCUUGAACCUGGGAGGCAGAUGUUGCAGUGAGCCUAGAUUACACCACUGCACUCCAGACUGGGCGACAGAGCAAGACUCUGUCUCAGAAAGAUAAAAUAAAAAAAAAGGAAACAAAAAGACAGAGAUAUCCUAAAUAGUGACAAAUUUAAGAAUGUAAGAUAUACAUAAUAUAGCUGAAGAAUUGACUAAAGAGGUUAAUAUCCCCGCAGAGAAGAACGAUUUAUGAAAUUUAUAAUUUAAGGCUCUAAUUAUGCUCUGUAAACAACCAAAUAAUAACUUUUUUUGAGACAGGGUCUGCUCGGUCCCCCAGGUUGGAGUACAGUGGCACAAUCUUGGCUCACCGCAGCCUGAACUUCCUGGGUUCUGUUGAUCUUCCCACCUCAGCCUCCAAAGUAGCUAGGACUGCAGGUGUGUGCCACUAUACCUGGCUAAUUUUUUUUUUUUUAUUUUUUUUAUUUUUUUUUGGUAGAGACAGGGUUUUGCCAUGUUGCCCAGGCUGGUCUUGAACUCCUGGGCUCAAGUAGUCCUCCCGCCUUGGCCUCCCAAAAUGCUGGGAUUACAGGCAUGAGCCACUGUGCCUAGCACGGAAUAACCUUGUAAACUAAGAGCUUCCAUGCUGUUUAGAAUGGCUGGCUCCUGUUAGCAAAUGCUAAAUAUUCUAAUUUCCACACUAUUUGAUUUUUCUUAGGUUCUAUCAAUAUUAUUAUGCAUUACGAUACUUCAUCUUAAGUCAUUAAUAACUGUCAUUCAUUCAACAAACAUUUACUGAGCACCUACUAUGUGCCAGGUAGUGUGGUGGGUUCUGGAUUGGUGGGAAAGAAUACAAACAUGUUUAGGCCAAAAUCCAUAGCCUCUCAGAGUUCACAGAAUUCUGAUUUGUGCAUUUGCAAUCAUUGUCAAAACAGGCAUUUGCCUCAGGCCCUGUCCAUCUCCAGUGUAACAUAAGGAUUAUACAAGCAAAUGAACUGUAGAAUGCAGCAGGAAACAAAAGAAAACAAGGCAGAUAGUUUCUGAAUAGGAUUAAUGGCACCGCCUCCUGGAGUGGGCUUGAUGAAAGAGCUGGUGUUGCAGGAGUUCUAGCUUCCGCGUAUGUUCACUAAAGGCAGAGAAUCUAGAAUGAAGUCCAAACGAUUUUGAGAACAAUCGCAAAGUGUUGAAGAAUCUCCAAAGAAGAAGCAUGUUCAGUAAGAUUGGAACACUGAAUGACAAUUCUACCUUAGACACUAAAGCUAGUGGUGUGAGCUUGGACAUCUCAUUUACUUUUCUGAGGCCAUUUCCUUAUUAAUAAUUUAUGUGCAGUGAUUAAUCCACCCAAGAAGUUACAAACUGAAGUUAUUCAGGGUGAGCACAAAGUUUGUAGAAAUUUUGAUUUGUUGCCAACAUUUCAAAAUCAGGAGAUUUCUUGGAAAAGUUCAACUCACAAGUUUCUAUUUUUAAGAAAAAAGGCCGGACACAGUGGCUCACACCUGUAAUCCCAGCACUUUGGGAAGCCAAGGCAGGAGAAUCUCUUGAGGCUGAGAGUUUAAGGCCACCCUGAGCAACAUAGCAAGACCCAAUAUCUACAAAAAAUAUAAAAAUUAGCCAGGUGUGGUGGUACACACCUGUAGAACCAGCUACCUGGUAGGCUGGGACAGAAAGAUUGCUUGAGCCCAGGAGUUUAAGGCUGCAGCAAGCUGUGAUUGCACAACUGCACUCCAGCCUGGGUGACAGCCUGGAGACCCUGUGAAAGAAAGACAGAAAGAGAGAGAGAGAAAAACAAAGAGAAGGAGGGAAGGAAGGAAGGAAGGAUGGAAGGAAGGAAGGGAGGGAGGGAGGAAGGGAGAAAGGAAGGAAGGGAGGGAGGGAAAAGAAAGAAGGAGGGGGGAGGGAGAGAGGGAGAAAGGAAAAAAGGAAGGAAGGAAAGAGAGGGAAAGAAGGAGGGAGGGAAGGAGGGAGGAAGGAGGGAAGGAAGGAAGAGAGGGAGGGAGGGAAGGUUGACCCACACCUCCGUGUGGCAGUGUUUACCUGAAGCAGAGCGUUGUGCCCCCUUUUCGAGCUGGCAUGUGCUUUGCAGUCUGUGGCGCACCCUGCCCACUGGCCUCACUCAUCCUCCCACUUCCCUCCUGGCCACUGCAGACAUUUGAGUUUGCGUCUCCUGAACUGGAUGGUUUUUAAGGGCUUCUUUUAGUUGUUGAAAGCUACAGGAACUGUUUCAAGGUAAUAUAAAUUAAAAAUAUGUAUGUUGCUGAGAGAAGAGACAAAUCACCCAUGCAGAAGAAUUUUAAAUCAUUUAUGUAAAUACUCCAUCCUCAGAGAGGUGAAGAAUACCUCCCCAUCCCUUAAGUGUGGCUGCCCAUAGUGACCUCCUUCCAAGAGUAUAACACAGAAAGGUGGGGCGGGGAGAGUAACUUUACAGUGGAAAAACCUGACCAGCACUAUCUCAACCAGCUGAUCAAGGUCAACAUCAACAGUGAUGAGAAGUCAUGUUGCCUGUGUGCAUGGCCUUCCUCCCCUAAACCCCUAUCCCCAGUCAUGAGAAAAACAUCAGACAAAUGCCAAUCAAGGGGCAUUUUACAAUAGGCUUGACCAGUACUCCUCAAAAUUGCCAAGGUAAUCAGAAACAAGGAAAGUCUGAGAUGGACAUAGCUGAGAGACUGCCAUAGUUUAAAGAGACAUGACAAGUAAAUGUAAUGUGGUACCCUGGAUGGGAUCCUGAAACAGUAAAAGGAUAUCACAUAAAAACUGAGAAAAUGUGGCCGGACAUGGUGGCUCACGCCUGUAAUCCGAGGACUUUGGGAGGACGAGGCAGGUAGAUCACUUGAGGUCAGACAUUCGAGACCAGCCUGGCCAACGUGGUGAAACCCCAUAUCUACUAAAAUUACAAAAAUUAGCCGGGCAUGGUGGCACGCCUGUAAUCCCAGCUACUCAGGAGGUU
RNAcentral lists this long non-coding RNA (6835 nucleotides) under Homo sapiens (human). Its description in RNAcentral is "HSALNT0160354". The stretch from base 1358 to 1505 matches the Rfam family "Metazoan signal recognition particle RNA". The record is from RNAcentral. Lineage: Eukaryota; Metazoa; Chordata; Mammalia; Primates; Hominidae.